AAAAAGAAUAUGCAAGAUUAUAUAUGUGCAUGCGGUCGUGCGUGUAUUUGUUGUGGCUAGACAGGUUUACAAUUGUUUCAGGCUUGCUACAGAUUUUUGGAGCCUUAAGCUAACCAUGUUUUGGCGCAAGUCAGUAGUGACAGGCAAAUCCACAUUUGAAGAGGAAGUUUGGACAAGAUAUUAAAAUGCACAUAGACAUUAUUGCAAUCCAAAUAUAGAAAAAAUGGAUUAGUGUAGCCCAAGGAACCUGAAUUUCAAAAUUCAACAAGUUAAAAAUACUCACUUCCAAACCAA
This 294-nucleotide unclassified non-coding RNA is filed under the name Hevea brasiliensis (rubber tree). Lineage: Eukaryota; Viridiplantae; Streptophyta; Magnoliopsida; Malpighiales; Euphorbiaceae. The record is from RNAcentral.